CAACACUGUUCUCAAACCCAGUGGAGAGCUCUGAUCACUAGAGCAAAUCAAGGAUGUCGUCAGAAUGCUCUGCCUUUCUGAAGUUGACAUUUCUUUUCCAAACUGGAAGAGUGGCACCUCCUUCUCUGAAGGCAUCUUCACAAAAUGCUCUGCUAGAUGCUCCAUAUGCACAUCACCUCGAAUCCCGAUCACCCUAUGAAGUGGGCAUAGCUAAUAGUCCACAGUUCCUAGCUGAGGAAUCCGAGGCUUGGGUGAGGAAUCCAGGACACAGCCUAUAUUACUAUGACCCAACAACGUUCCUUGUUAUGUAGAUGUCUUUCAUAUCCGACUUAAUAGAAGAUGCUGGAUUCCCAUUUCUGCCUUCUGCAUUAUUCCGCUGUGAUACACUAUUCUGAUCAAAGUAUACGAAACCUCACACAGAUAUGUAGUUGUAAAGAGAAGACGUACAUUAAUGGCCAUUUCAGGUUAACGUGGAUAUUUUUGACGCUACACCAAGACUCCACAAGUGUCCUGUCUGAAAGUUACCUUGGCCUUCAGAACAAUCAGAGUCACAGAAAGCAAUGAGAGCUACAUUGGGAAAUGCAGGAAUCCAAAAGUGAUCGCCACUCGUUCUGCGGAGAAAGAACCAAUCCCAGUGCAGAGACAAGAAAGCACCUUUAAAUGAACUUCGGACUCAAUUCGGUGAAAGGCAACAAAGACCACAUUCCGACGUGCCCAUGGCCACUCAGUUUUCAC
Suricata suricatta (meerkat) is the source of this 735-nucleotide long non-coding RNA. RefSeq lists it as uncharacterized. The transcript is spliced from 4 exons. NCBI's taxonomy places the organism in Eukaryota, Metazoa, Chordata, Mammalia, Carnivora, Herpestidae. The record is from RefSeq and is a predicted model, not a curated record.